RNAcentral lists this long non-coding RNA (372 nucleotides) under Zonotrichia albicollis (white-throated sparrow). RNAcentral's name for it is "lncRNA (ENSZALG00000007351.1)". Lineage: Eukaryota; Metazoa; Chordata; Aves; Passeriformes; Passerellidae. The record is from RNAcentral.
UGUUCAAGUAACCACAUAUAAACUUAUCAUGGAGAUCAGCUGAGACCUCAUGGCAGAAAUCUCGUUUGAAACAACUCGAAAUUACUUCACCUUGGCUCAAGCCACAUCACAGCAGAUACUUUCUCCUCCUUCUCCAGCCCUGCUGUGAGCCAAAGGCGUUUUCUGGGCUGCAACUUUCCUGUGCUGAAUGACCUUGAGCCUCUUGCUGCUGCCCUGUCUUUGCUUGGCUCAGCAUGUGCAUCUCUUGCUCUUUUAAAUAUGCCUGCAUGCUCACCUUUGCUGUCUUCCUUUUCCUCCACAGAUGAAGAGCCUUCAGAAUGGAUCCACAGAUUCCUGAGCAUUCAUGGACCUCAGACUGGAGCUACCGCAUAA